This 72-nucleotide transfer RNA is filed under the name Heterocephalus glaber (naked mole-rat). It matches the Rfam family "tRNA". Rfam says of the family: Transfer RNA (tRNA) molecules are approximately 80 nucleotides in length. Their secondary structure includes four short double-helical elements and three loops (D, anti-codon, and T loops). Further hydrogen bonds mediate the characteristic L-shaped molecular structure. tRNAs have two regions of fundamental functional importance: the anti-codon, which is responsible for specific mRNA codon recognition, and the 3' end, to which the tRNAs corresponding amino acid is attached (by aminoacyl-tRNA synthetases). tRNAs cope with the degeneracy of the genetic code in two manners: having more than one tRNA (with a specific anti-codon) for a particular amino acid; and 'wobble' base-pairing, i.e. permitting non-standard base-pairing at the 3rd anti-codon position. Lineage: Eukaryota; Metazoa; Chordata; Mammalia; Rodentia; Bathyergidae. The record is from Rfam by way of RNAcentral.
CUUGAUGUAGCUCAGUGGUAAGGUAUGUGUUUGGCACAAACGAGGUCCUGAGUUCAAUCCUCAGCACCAAAA